Transfer RNA from Wallemia ichthyophaga EXF-994, 71 nucleotides. It matches the Rfam family "tRNA". From Rfam's summary of the family: Transfer RNA (tRNA) molecules are approximately 80 nucleotides in length. Their secondary structure includes four short double-helical elements and three loops (D, anti-codon, and T loops). Further hydrogen bonds mediate the characteristic L-shaped molecular structure. tRNAs have two regions of fundamental functional importance: the anti-codon, which is responsible for specific mRNA codon recognition, and the 3' end, to which the tRNAs corresponding amino acid is attached (by aminoacyl-tRNA synthetases). tRNAs cope with the degeneracy of the genetic code in two manners: having more than one tRNA (with a specific anti-codon) for a particular amino acid; and 'wobble' base-pairing, i.e. permitting non-standard base-pairing at the 3rd anti-codon position. The record is from Rfam. NCBI's taxonomy places the organism in Eukaryota, Fungi, Basidiomycota, Wallemiomycetes, Wallemiales, Wallemiaceae.
GGGCGCAUAGCUUAGUGGUAAAGCGAACUGCUUUUAACAGUUUGAUGAGUGUUCGAUUCGCUCUGUGCCUA